RNAcentral lists this ribosomal RNA (671 nucleotides) under uncultured Inocybe. RNAcentral describes it as "eukaryotic LSU rRNA". The stretch from base 304 to 457 matches the Rfam family "5.8S ribosomal RNA". Lineage: Eukaryota; Fungi; Basidiomycota; Agaricomycetes; Agaricales; Cortinariaceae. The record is from RNAcentral.
CUUGGUCAUUUAGAGGAAGUAAAAGUCGUAACAAGGUUUCCGUAGGUGAACCUGCGGAAGGGUCAUUAUUGAAUAAACUUGAGCAGGCUGUUGCUGGCCCCUCCUGCAAAGGGGGCAUGUGCACGCUUGUCAUCUUUAUUUCUCCAACCUGUGCACAUAUUGUAGACCUGGGAGUGUUUGAAUAUUUUCGAGUUGGGACUGCUGCACGGUUGUUCGUCAGCUUUGCCUUGAUUUUUCAGGUCUAUGUCAUUUUCACAAACCUCUGAACUUGUUUGGAAUGUAAAAAAACCUAUAAAAAUAUACAACUUUCAGCAACGGAUCUCUUGGCUCUCGCAUCGAUGAAGAACGCAGCGAAAUGCGAUAAGUAAUGUGAAUUGCAGAAUUCAGUGAAUCACCGAAUCUUUGAACGCAUCUUGCGCUCCUUGGUAUUCCGAGGAGCAUGCCUGUUUGAGUGUCAUUUAAGUUCUCAAACCCCCACAUUUUGAUGGGGGGGUUUUGGAUGUGGGGGAAUAAUGCAGGCCUAGUCUGCUCCCCUGAAAUGCAUUAGUGGUAUCUGAGCAAAAUAAGUACUACAGGUGUGAUAAAUGUAUAUCUAUGCCUCUGGUAUGCUUGCAGAAACAGAUUGCACCGCUUCCCAACGACUUUAUUAUUAUUCUUUAAAGACCUCAAAU